AGCCGCAAUUCGUGCUAAGGUAGCAUAAUAAUUUGUCUUUUAAAUGAGGACUUGAACAAAAGAUUUAACAUUUCAAUAAUUAUCUUUAUUUUACUUAUUGAAAUUAACAAAAAUGUAAAAAGCCAUUUAUAAAUAAGAAAGACGAUAAGACCCUAUUGAACUUAACUUAAGUUUUACUGGGGCAGUAAUUUAAUAAAUAUUUUAAUAAAAUUAAUAAAAUAAAUAUCUAGUUUUCUAAUAAUUAAGUUACCAUAGGGAUAACAGAAUAAUUAUUUUUAAGAGAUCUUAUCCAAAAAAUAGAUUGUAACCUCGAUGUUGAAUUAAUUUCCUAAUUUGAGCAAAAUUAAAAUAAGGAAGUCUGUUCGACUUUUAAAAAAUUACAUGAUUUGAGUUCAGACCGGUAUAAGCCAGGUCGGUUUCUAUCUUCUAUAUAAAUUUAUACAGUACGAAAGGACCUAUAAAUAUAAUAACAUUAUUAUAUUGGCAGAUAAAUGCAUUAGAAUUAGAAUCUAAUUAAUCU
RNAcentral lists this ribosomal RNA (520 nucleotides) under Synemosyna cf. lucasi WPM-2015. RNAcentral's name for it is "partial 16S ribosomal RNA". The stretch from base 136 to 428 matches the Rfam family "Bacterial large subunit ribosomal RNA", at positions 2074 to 2646 of the family's 2925-position model. Lineage: Eukaryota; Metazoa; Arthropoda; Arachnida; Araneae; Salticidae. The record is from RNAcentral.